RNAcentral lists this ribosomal RNA (253 nucleotides) under uncultured bacterium. RNAcentral's name for it is "partial 16S ribosomal RNA". It matches the Rfam family "Bacterial small subunit ribosomal RNA", at positions 524 to 776 of the family's 1533-position model. The record is from RNAcentral.
GACGAAGGAUGCAAGCGUUAUCCGGAUUCAUUGGGUUUAAAGGGCGCGUAGGCGGCCUUCUAAGUCAGUGGUGAAAUCUCUCGGCUUAACUGAGAAAUUGCCAUUGAUACUGUAGGGCUUGAGUACAGAUGCCGUUGGCGGAAUAUGACAUGUAGUGGUGAAAUACAUAGAGAUGUCAUAGAACACCGAUUGCGAAGGCAGGUUACUACUAAUGGAUUGACGCUGAUGGACGAAAGCGUGGGUAGCGAACAGG